Molecule: ribosomal RNA, 562 nt
Filed under: Nipaecoccus viridis
Lineage: Eukaryota; Metazoa; Arthropoda; Insecta; Hemiptera; Pseudococcidae
Description: eukaryotic LSU rRNA
Rfam family: Eukaryotic large subunit ribosomal RNA
Source: RNAcentral
UAUUUCGGACGUCGCGACCCGUUUGGUGUCGGUUUGAGGAGACGCGUGAAAGUUCGUUAGCGCGUCGGAGCUUCGGUUUCGGCGCGUCGGCGAGUACGCGUUCUAUUUCUAGCCGACUCGCCAGACGGUACGUAAUGGUGAUCGCGGCGGCCUCAGCGUCGCCGCUCGACGCCUGUCUGCGACGAAUCUUCGAGUCUCUUUCCGACCCGUCUUGAAACACGGACCAAGGAGUCUAACGUGCGCGCGAGUCGCGGGGUAUCGAACGGUCGGUGUUCGCAUCGGCCGUUCGUUAUAAUACGAAACCCGUCUCGUUUUACGAAAGGCGCAAUGAAAGUGAAUUUUGGGGAAGAUGACGUUACCGAGUUCACGUUCCGUACUCUCGUAGUGCGGCCGGUCGUCCGCAUUCCCAGGGUGUCUCAAAGUCCGAUUCUAUUGCGGACUGCCGCCUCUUCGGGGACGGUAGUCGGAUUCUAUCGAGCUGAGGCGCACCUAUAGCGUGCACGUUGGUACCCGAAAGAUGGUGAACUAUGCCCGGCCAGGAUGAAGUCAGGGGAAACCCUGA